UCCUUUGUUGCCAGCGGUCCGGCCGGGAACUCAAAGGAGACUGCCAGUGAUAAACUGGAGGAAGGUGGGGAUGACGUCAAGUCAUCAUGGCCCUUACGACCAGGGCUACACACGUGCUACAAUGGCGCAUACAAAGAGAAGCGACCUCGCGAGAGCAAGCGGACCUCAUAAAGUGCGUCGUAGUCCGGAUUGGAGUCUGCAACUCGACUCCAUGAAGUCGGAAUCGCUAGUAAUCGUGGAUCAGAAUGCCACGGUGAAUACGUUCCCGGGCCUUGUACACACCGCCCGUCACACCAUGGGAGUGGGUUGCAAAAGAAGUAGGUAGCUUAACCUUCGGGAGGGCGCUUACCACUUUGUGAUUCAUGACUGGGGUGAAGUCGUAACAAGGUAACCGUAGGGGAACCUGCGGUUGGAUCACCUCCUUACCUUAAAGAAGC
RNAcentral lists this ribosomal RNA (437 nucleotides) under Escherichia coli. RNAcentral describes it as "bacterial SSU rRNA". It matches the Rfam family "Bacterial small subunit ribosomal RNA", at positions 1108 to 1533 of the family's 1533-position model. The record is from RNAcentral. Lineage: Bacteria; Pseudomonadati; Pseudomonadota; Gammaproteobacteria; Enterobacterales; Enterobacteriaceae. RNAcentral also lists the same sequence under 2 other names.